UACGUAGGGGGCAAGCGUUGUCCGGAAUUAUUGGGCGUAAAGAGCGUGUAGGCGGCCAGAUAAGUCCGCUGUGAAAUCUCGAGGCUCAACUUCGAGCUGUCGGUGGAAACUAUCUGGCUAGAGUCCGGAAGAGGAGAAUGGAAUUCCUGGUGUAGCGGUGAAAUGCGCAGAUAUCAGGAGGAACACCAGUGGCGAAGGCGGCUCGUGGGCCGUACUGACUGAC
Molecule: ribosomal RNA, 223 nt
Filed under: uncultured bacterium
Lineage: Bacteria
Description: partial 16S ribosomal RNA
Rfam family: Bacterial small subunit ribosomal RNA
Source: RNAcentral